RNAcentral lists this ribosomal RNA (559 nucleotides) under Thoropa miliaris (rock river frog). RNAcentral's name for it is "partial 16S ribosomal RNA". It matches the Rfam family "Bacterial large subunit ribosomal RNA", at positions 1819 to 2597 of the family's 2925-position model. Lineage: Eukaryota; Metazoa; Chordata; Amphibia; Anura; Cycloramphidae. The record is from RNAcentral.
CGCCUCUUGAAAAAUAUAAGAGGUCCAGCCUGCCCAGUGACUCUGUUCAACGGCCGCGGUAUCCUAACCGUGCGAAGGUAGCGUAAUCACUUGUUCUUUAAAUGAGGACUAGUAUGAAAGGCAUCACGAGGGUUAUACUGUCUCCUUUUUCUAAUUAGUGAAACUAAUCUCCCCGUGAAGAAGCGGGGAUCUUUAUAUAAGACGAGAAGACCCUAUGGAGCUUUAAAUAAUAUAACAAUUGCUACUUUAUUUCUACUAACCUUAUAUCAUCUAGCAAUAUGAUUAUUAAUUUUUGGUUGGGGUGACCGCGGAGCAUAACACAACCUCCACAUUGAAAGGAUGCUACUCCUAAGCUAAAAGCAACAACUUUAUGCAUCAAUAAAUUGACAUCAAUUGACCCAAUAUAUUUGAUCAACGAACCAAGUUACCCUAGGGAUAACAGCGCAAUCUACUUUAAGAGCCCAUAUCGACAAGUAGGUUUACGACCUCGAUGUUGGAUCAGGGUAUCCUAGUGGUGCAGCCGCUACUAAUGGUUCGUUUGUUCAACGAUUAAAACCCU